Molecule: non-coding RNA, 223 nt
Organism: Pelobates cultripes (western spadefoot toad)
Lineage: Eukaryota; Metazoa; Chordata; Amphibia; Anura; Pelobatidae
Source: the annotation of a GenBank genome assembly
UGGAGCUGGAGCAGGGCUACCAAGAUCUGUUCCACUCCAGUGAGAAGGCUCAGCAGGGAAGCGGAGACCCAGAUCCAGACCCAUUCAGCUGGGUAGAUAUUGCAGAGUAUUACUGGGAAGAACCCCAGGUGGUUGGUGGAGAUGGGACCGAGGUCUCUCCACCGGUCCUGCAGGGAAUUGGGAGCCCAGGCUCCAUUCCCCAGCGGCAGGCUGAGUUACAGGG